UGGGGAAUUUUGGACAAUGGGCGCAAGCCUGAUCCAGCCAUGCCGCGUGCAGGAUGACGGUCCUAUGGAUUGUAAACUGCUUUUGUACAGGAAGAAACAGUUCUACGUGUAGAACCUUGACGGUACCGUAAGAAUAAGCACCGGCUAACUACGUGCCAGCAGCCGCGGUAAUACGUAGGGACCAAGCGUUGUUCGGAUUUACUGGGCGUAAAGGGCGCGUAGGCGGCAUGACAAGUCACUUGUGAAAUCUCUGGGCUUAACCCAGAACGGCCAAGUGAUACUGUCGCGCUAGAGUGCAGAAGGGGCAAUCGGAAUUCUUGGUGUAGCGGUGAAAUGCGUAGAUAUCAAGAGGAACACCUGAGGUGAAGACGGGUUGCUGGGCUGACACUGACGCUGAGGCGCGAAAGCCAGGGGAGCAAACGGGAUUAGAUACCCAAGUAGUCCCUGAGCGGGCUGGCAAGGCGCAU
This 467-nucleotide ribosomal RNA is filed under the name uncultured bacterium. Its description in RNAcentral is "bacterial SSU rRNA". It matches the Rfam family "Bacterial small subunit ribosomal RNA", at positions 355 to 825 of the family's 1533-position model. The record is from RNAcentral.